GCUAACUACGUGCCAGCAGCCGCGGUAAUACGUAGGGUGCGAGCGUUAAUCGGAAUUACUGGGCGUAAAGCGUGCGCAGGCGGUGCUGUAAGACAGGCGUGAAAUCCCCGGGCUCAACCUGGGAAUGGCGCUUGUGACUGCAGUGCUGGAGUGCGGCAGAGGGGGAUGGAAUUCCGCGUGUAGCAGUGAAAUGCGUAGAUAUGCGGAGGAACACCGAUGGCGAAGGCAAUCCCCUGGGCCUGCACUGACGCUCAUGCACGAAAGCGUGGGGAGCAAACAGGAUUAGAUACCCUUGUAGUC
Molecule: ribosomal RNA, 300 nt
Filed under: uncultured Hydrogenophaga sp.
Lineage: Bacteria; Pseudomonadati; Pseudomonadota; Betaproteobacteria; Burkholderiales; Comamonadaceae
Description: bacterial SSU rRNA
Rfam family: Bacterial small subunit ribosomal RNA
Source: RNAcentral